ACAUUAUUUCUAAUGCUAAAAAAAACGAAGUCUAGCAAGUAAGUAGGUAUCAAAAGAAAAAAAAACGAUGGUUAAUGCGACAUGUUAAUGCAUGCUGCUAGACUUCAGACUUUUGUCAGCGACGGCUAAUAACAUCAGCAUAGUGUAGUCUCUUAACGAUUUUCAGUAGUAAUCGUAAUAAAAUCGAAUUAAAUUCCUUAUAUCCAAUUUCGGAAUUUUCGACAUUCAGUGGUCUCAAUUCCGGAAUUUGUAAUAUCGGAAAAUUGGUCCGUUAUUCCGGAAUUUCGAAAUUCCGGAAUCUCGGAUUGCAAGCCCUAGGUCUGAAAACCAUCGCCGAGCAUCUUGGCCCAGCACACGCUAAGACUGGAACCCUUUGCCCUUUUUUUGAUUUGUAUAUAUUAAUAAUUGUUUUUUUUUUCUCUAUUAUGUUAUAUGUUUUUCUCGCCACUGUUCGGAAAUGUGGCAAAAGAUGGUCUAAAACCAAGCUGGAAAGUAGGCAAUAGCUGUAGCACCUGAACCACCACUACUACAAUGUUUCAUUGUUAUAUGUCUGUCAUUUGUGAUCAUUGUUAUCAUCAUCUGUCAUAAGGUACAAGGUCUUUUAUUGGCGCAACUUUUCCUUCAAAUAUAAAAUUAGAGUAUUUACACCGUGUCCAAUAUAUUUGGAUAUAACUAUGAAAUAUCAUAAAAAUAACUACACGAUACCAAAUGACAUGAAAAGUAUAUUGUAUUAAAACGAAACAAAUAACAAAUUAUUACAAUAACUGUUUUGGAAUUACUCCGCCUUUAAGUUUCCGAACCAGCCUUAAACGUUUCUCGACCCGUCACAUGCGGCACGCACUGCUUCCAUAGGCAUUUCAUCCCAAAUAAGCUCGAUAUAUUUUUUUUAUUGGUCCAAAUUUGAUAUUUUAUAAUUAAUCAGUUUAGACAGGAUAUACGACCAUACAAAAAAAUCCAAACAAUUGAGAUCCGGAGAGCUGGGAGGCCAUUCAUUCUUGGGUAAGAAAUCGGUUAAAUUUGCCUUACACCAGGCUUGAACGCUGUUUGCGGUAUGGGAAGGUGCUCCAUCCUGUUGAAAAAUGUAAUAAUCAUCUCCAAACAUGCGUUGCAAAUUAGGAGCAACAACUUUCUCCAGUACUUCGGUUUUGUAAUAUUCAGCGUUGAUUUUAACACCUUUAUCGAUGAAUAUCAAAGGAAGUUUGCCCCGCUUACACACUGCUCCCCAAACCAUUACUGAGGGGGCACCCUGAAAUCUUGGAACGUAUUUCUGAUUCUCUGGAAUAUCUGCCAUCUUGGCCGCCCACAACCGAUCAUUUUGAGCAUUGUGGGAUUGCUCUAAAACAAACAGUUUUUCAUCUGAGAAAACGAACUCAUCCCCAGCGUGCCACGAAAGUAUCGUAUUUGAUCGCUCGGCCCUCUUCUGCUUAGAAGCCUGGGAAAGUCCAUGAACUUUACGUUUCUUGUACGCAUAACACCCGAGAUCGUGUAUCAAAAUGUUAUGGACAGAUCCUCUUGAAAUAUUCAAGUCGGCUGCUAGUUUUCGAACGGAGCGAUGGUUUUUACGUCUAAUUCGCUCCCUCACAAUUUUGACUACCCGAUCUGUUCUCGCUGAUCGCGGCCGACCCGAUCUCCUACGAUCUUCCGUUGAGGAGGUCUCUUUGAAUCGUUUUAAUGUUUUAUAAACAAAAUCACGUUUGAUUCCAGGAGAUUUCAUCGCUUUGAAGAUGUCAAUAGGGCACUCGCCAUUACAGUAUUUGGUAACAAUUAUUUUACGAAAUUGCUUCACCGUGUUUUAACCAUGAAUGAAAUGUAAUACUAAUAGACAUUUGACGUUACUGUAUCUUGUCUCUGUAAAUAUAUAUUUCAAUUUUAUAAAUAGUACUAUUUAUUUCGAGCUUCAGGUAUUUUAUACCAGUGCGAAACAUAUUGUAUCCAAACUUAUUGGACACGGUGUAUAGGAUCAAUUACUUGUUAAAAAAAAAAGAAACGUCAAACCCAUUCAGUUCACGCUUCAGGAGUUUUUACUUUCAUUGCAAGAAAUCAGAAAUCAUUGCAUUUAUUCGUGAUAAAUUAUGACAUACAAAAGUAUAACAACACAACAAAGAAACAUAGAAUAAAUAAAUAGUUUACCACGAAAUGGUCCCGCCUCAGCAUAAAUGCAAACUUAAAAGUCAGCGCUGAUCUUCAGGCGUGACCAUUUGUGGGUCACGAUCACGAACGCAGCUGUACGGCACGGCAUAAAACUGAACGCGGCUUUGCGGCGGCGAAAGGGCGGCGAUCAACGCCAUCUAGUCUGCCGGCGAGACUUCAUGAUGACAAAAGAGGCCAUGUCGUACGCGUGCUGUUAGAUAUAGACAACAACGAUAACAAGACCAUUUAUUAGUUUAUUACUUACUUAUACUCGUAUUAAAACAGUAGCAUCAGUGCAAACCAUGAAAGAAAAUAAACGUGAUUACAUAGCAAGAAAUUAAAAAGAAAUUCAAUCUUACAAUAUAAAAACUAAGAAUACUACUACUUGGGUUACAAGUUUUGUACAUGAAGAAGAUAAAAUAACAUCAAUAUCACGCACAAUGGUGAUGCAAGAGUUGCAAGGCAGAGAUAAAACAAAUGACGACUAAUAACAUUAUACAGACGCAUUGAGUGAACGUGAGGAUAGGACAGAAAAACAGGUUCCCGAGCGGUGGAGGAAUGUUGUUCCAGCAGCGGGUUGCCAUGUACCUAAAGCUCCCACGAAAUGCUGCUGAAGCAUGUAGAGGUGUCACCAACUGCACACUGCAAUUACGCGCCCCAAGUGACCUACGGGUGGACAUCCAUGAUAACUUCUCGAAGAGAUAUGAUAGGGAUUUGUGUUUUACUACGCCAAAUAAGAGAAAUGCCAGAUGAAGCUUGUGAAGGUGUAGCAUUUUGAGAAUACUGUGCUUAUUUAGAAAUGGAGUCACAUGGGCUCUUGGAGAAAUGUUAAAGCAAAAACGAGCAAACGCAUUUUGUACCCGCUGAAUAAGUCGCCUUGUUUUUGCCAGAAGACGUGGACCAUAGACUAAAUCCAUAUAGUUCAAUUUAGACAGAACAAGUGUUUCAAUCAACUGAGUGCGCAAGUUUCAUUAAUGAACGGUCGAAUAUUGUACAGUAGCUUGAGCCUGUAAAAAAAGUUUCUCACAGUUUCAGCACCAUGAUUGUCAAAUCUGAGUUCACUAUCCAUAAUUAAACCUAAAUUCCUAGCCUUAUACACUUUUUCAAUGGGUUCACCCGAUAACAUCACAUCUCUGGCAGGUCCAAUUUUGCUUUACUGAUUUUUGGUGCCGAAGAUCAUACAUUUUGUCUUAGAUGGGUUGAGCAUUAGACUAUUGUCUAGAGCCCAAGAAGUUAAGUUUGCAAGGUCCAUAUUAAGUUUUUGUGUAGCACUGUCAAUUUCAGAAGGCUUACAGGAAAUGUAUAUCUGUAUGUCAUCGGCAUAAAUAUGAUACUUGCAGUGUGCGAUGCGAGUUCUGAUGUCCGCUGUAUAUAAACAGGAUUGGGCCAAGUAUCGAUCCCUGUGGUACACCUCUGGAAAGCGCCAUUUUUUCUGAGACUAGCUGAUCCGUCACUUGAGCUUAGUUAAACAUACUGUUGUCUCUCACUGAGAUAACUAUGAAACCAACGAAGUGCGCUGUUAUCAAAGCCAUAGUAACUUAGCUUAGACAGUAGCAGGUCUAUAUUAAUGCAGUCAAAUGCCCUAGAAAAAUCAAGCAGUACAAGUAGUUUUGUAGCUGUUUGUGGUUUUUUAGCAAAAAACGCUUCGAAGUUUAGAGUCCGUUUGAAGAAAACAACAGAAAAACGCCUUUAAAAGUGAUAAAAAAAGUAAAAAAGGCGGGAUCGGAAAAUACUUACUGAAUUAGAUAGUGUAAAUUGUCUUUGACUAAAAAAUACAAGAAACACGUAUCAACGUUAUAAAAAUGAGUUCUUCUAGUGAAAAAAAUAUAAAUGUUCCUGGCAAAAAUACAUCGCCUUCUUGCAGCAAUUGUCCUCACGCCAAUAUAAAUAUUAAUUUAUAUUAAAGUACUUGUCUCUAGGGACAAAUAACUUUUGAGACAGAAUUUAUGGCAAGAAAAAACAUCAAAUUGCGUAAAAAUAUUUUCUAUAAUGUUCAUAUCCAGACAGGAAAAUGGAGACUACGUUUGUAUGGAGAAGCGGUCACGUGACUUCGUCCCUUUUCAUCUUAAGCACAGAAUGAUAUGAUUCCAGGGAAAUGAAAAGGUAAUACCAAUCAUAGAAAGCCUAUAAUAGUUAUUUGCACAACAAGAGAGCAAAGUUUGAUAUUUCUUCGAGUGCUUGUUUUGAGUCCCGUGCAAGCGAAAGAUUCUAUAAUAUAUAAUUUAGAAUAUUGAGCGUAGUAAGGGACUCAAAAGCGCACGAGAUGUAAAUAACUUUGAUCUCGUGUAGUACACAAAUUUUUUCACGUCAGUCAGCCAUCAAAGAAUACAACCUGAAAAAAUGUAAUCCAGACGGACGGAUCACUAUUUCACUCAUGUUUUCUGAAGGUAUUCUAACAAUUAACUUUAAUUACCGCAAUAAAACGAAACGAAAGAAAUUUCAAUAAAAUAAUACGAAAAUAAUGAAUUAACGAACAUCAAUUGACAGUUCAAUCGACAUCUUUUUUUUUGUAAAAAAAAACUUUGUAAGAUCCGGUCCGAAUUGCAGAUACUACUAUUUUUCAACUAUAUUUGAGAUCGUUAAAAGUCGUUAAAUAGAAUUAUUUACUGCGUAACAAUUGCGUAAAUUUGUAUAAGUUCAUUGUUUUAAUUGUAUAAUAAAAUAUGUAAAAUAUGGUGUUUUUAUUAAAUUUUAAACUUUUAUUUCAUUAAUUAAUUAUUACGAAUGAAGACUCGUAGGGUGUUUUUGGACGAUGCGGUCUGACUUAUUUCGGGGGUCUAUUAUAAACCGUCAAUAUACCGUUGAAUUACGUAUGCACUUUUUUUGUCUCUUUCUUUUUGCUAAUGACGUGAAAGGGAUAAAGACAAUAGAAUCCAAAUAUUUCGAAACUUGUAUUAGGCCCCGCACGCUAAACAAAUUAAACAAAUUACCGCACGUUGAAAUGACAUUCAAAUGUAAAGGUCACUUGAAUGUUAUUUUGUCUCACUCGGUGAGCAAAAUGCGAUUUUACUCACUGUUUUUAAGCAGCAAAUUACCCUUGUUCGAGCUGCUGACGUGAAAAAUGUAUUGCAUUCAAUAAUAUUUCCUUUUAUGCUUUUAAUUCUUUUUUCACCAUUUUCGAGAAAAGCAAUGUCUAUAAGUAUAACUCGACUGAAAUGGCUUUAAUUUACUAAUUCGUCGGAAUUAAUACGAAAACAGCAAACUCUGCUGACUUAAAAUUUGUACAUUUAGCGCGCCUCCACAAUGAAGAUGACAAUAUAAUGACAUGAUCUAUACUCCCUUAUGUUUAAAAUGUACAUAAUACUAUAGAUCGUGUCAAUUCCGACGACGCAUGCGAUGACUCGUAUAGUCAUGUUAUUAAAGGUUAGAUUUGACAAAUCUGCGCGUCAUCGUGGAUGAUACUAACUUUAAUAGUCCCGGUUUAGCUAAUUCAGACAAAAUGGUAACUACGAUACCCUACACUGAGCACGCCCCGACAUGCUCAUGAUUUUUUGUUCUAUUAAGUACAAAGAAAAUGGGGAAUACGUUUGUAUGGAGAAGCGGCCGAAGUGUGGUCGUAUCUUUUGAAACGACGACAAGUAAACAGAUUUAUGACGAAUUAUCAUACGUAUGACGUUUUUCGUGUAAUUUCAUUUACAAUUAACAAGUAUUCCUAGACAAAAUAGAUUUCAACGUACAAAUUCUCGUUUAGCACUCAUAAUCUUAGUUUCAAGAGCAGUUUAAUCAAUUGAAUGAAGAAGGUGUGUAGACGUAUUAUAACAAAAUCGGUCUGGGUAUUUUUAUUAGUAUUGAACAUUCAUAAACUUUUUGUGGUAACUACUGACAAACAAAGAAAACCGGCAAUUACUACAAAAGAGGAUUUGGUGUUAUUGUUAUGCAUGAAUCCCUUCGCUUGGCAAGCAAUGCAUUCAUAUUCACACGAUACAAAAAAUACUUAUUUAGAAGAUAAAUAAAGUUAUAUUUUCAUAAGAGAGAAGAUUAAUUAUUUCAAGGAGAACUUUGCGACUGCAUGGCCAAAAUAAUAGAGUAAAAUAACAGCAUUUUUGAGAACAAUUCGCUUUUUCCGUAAAAUAUAAAUGAUAAGAAGUAACAGUAAAAAUAAAACAAGUAUUAAAUAGGUAUAGAUGCGCAGUCUGUUCACACGUCAGUUCAGCCUAUGACAUUCUUAACACUAGUAAACAUCUUGACUAUUUAUAGUCAAAAGGCACAUUGUCGAGUAAAAUACCUGGGAGUUACAGUCAUCUUAAAGUGCCAGUUGAGACUUAGCUAGUACAGUCGACGUGAAAGAUAUGUUCAUACUUUUGCACCUUACUCCUUUGUAGUAUGGCGAAAAAUGUUAGUACCUGUUACAAAUAGUCUUGCCAUAAAAUCUGUCUCAAAUUGAAUAGUCCAAAGUUAUUCAAUGAAGUUUAAUAUUCCUAAUAACUGACUAAUAACGAACAUAGAAUGCCUCAUGAUGACUCGAUGUUCAUGUCCUUCGCCUCAACAUCAACACCUGUCUUUUAAGACGAAAGUGGAGGACCCGCGCGGAAUCGCCUUUCAUACAAACGUAGUCCUUAUUUCCCUCACUGAAUAUUAACAUUAGUAUUUUUUUGAAACAAUUUGUUGUAUAUAAAGCUAUGCCCCUACGUUUGAUAUUUUUAGAUUUUUUGAUAUUAUAAAAGAUAGGAGCAUUCAAAAAAAUUUAUGUUAUCAUUUUUUUGCACCAAUUUUUUCACAAUCAUCAUAAAAUCGAAAACAUUCAAACGUAGAGGAGGUAUAGCAAUAGUUAUAUACAUCAAAAUAUAUAAAAAUAUUUUCCAUAAUGUUAGUAUCCAGAGAGGAAAAUGGGGACUACGUUUCUCUUAAGGAGCAAGCGAAUCUGCCCUAAAACACGUACCAUGUUUUGCUGAAAUAUGAUACUCUUGUUCGAGUCAUUUUAGGUAAGUUGCCAAUAUUUGUGAUAUCUUUCAUGCAUUUUUGUCUGCAUAGAAAUCUAAAGAAGCGACAGAUGUAGUUAAUAAAGUUGAGCAAGAUCCCCGUCUGUUAUAUGGUUUUGUGAGAAGACCACGAUAAAAUAGUAAUUGAACUCCAUAUUUGGGUAAAAAUUCACAAUUAGUCUAUUACACAAAUCUUUAAGGUGCAGUGGGCUCAGAUAACGGGGUUUUCGAAAGUCGUAGUAGCGCUUUUUUAGAUCGCAAAACGAUUGCCAAAAAUUUAAUUAGCAAUCCUCAGGCCUGUUUCUAGGGACUUCAGCAAUUCGAAUCCUGAGUUUUUGACUUUCAUUUGAUAGAAAAAAUCACGAACAUAGUUCUAAAAUGCACAUUCAAAAUUUAUAACAAAUUAUACACAAAAACUUAAAACAGACAAUUAUUUCUAAAAAUAAGCAAUAUGUUUUAACUCAGCGAUUACUUUAUUUUAUUAAAAUACACAAAAAAUUAAAAUUUAAUGAAAAACAUGAUAUUCGCGGUCCUGAACACGCACAUACAUCUCGCUCGCGCUGAGAAGAAUACGAACCUACUAGGCCUUAAAAUCUAUAUGGAUCGAAAUUUCCGACGGAGGUUGUUAAAAGUUGUACGUGGUUAUGAGGCGUGUCACCCGUCAAUUAAAAAACUAUAUAUUCAAAAUUUAUUUAAUUGUAUUUUUAACCGGCUUCAAUUUCAUAGAAGGAGGAGGUUCUGUAUUCGGUUGUGGCUAUAUUUCUUUUUAUGUACGUUCACCGAUUACUCCGACACCCGUGGUCCGAUUUGAGUAAUUAUUAUUUUUGUUUGAAAGGAGUUAUUUCCAAGUUGGUUCCAUUUUAAUUUGGUUCUGAUCUAAUGAUGGAAUCUAUGAGGAAUUGAGGGAACUCCUCUUCCCGUGGUCCGAUUUGAGUAAUUAAUUUUUUGUUUGAAAGGAGUUAUUUCCAAGUUGGUUUCAUUUUAAUUUGGUUCUGAUCUGAUGAUGGAAUCCAUGAGGAAUUGAGGGAACUCCUCUUUUUUUUUAAGGCACGUGUAUGGUGAUUUGGUUGUUUUCUUAUUAAGCAAAUCGAGCAUUUUAUGCACAUGUAUGCAAGUUAUGCAACCAAUACCGAUGUAAUGCAACUGUAGCCUUACCACGGGUUUGACUCUACAUAUUAGCUGACGUGUUCGUAACUUACUUUCUAUUCAUCUCGCUCGCACUAAUAGGAUGCCAGUACGAGCGAGACGCAU
Molecule: long non-coding RNA, 8300 nt
Organism: Cydia pomonella (codling moth)
Lineage: Eukaryota; Metazoa; Arthropoda; Insecta; Lepidoptera; Tortricidae
Exons: 3
Source: RefSeq, a predicted model, not a curated record